RNAcentral lists this transfer RNA (69 nucleotides) under Capra hircus (goat). It matches the Rfam family "tRNA". From Rfam's summary of the family: Transfer RNA (tRNA) molecules are approximately 80 nucleotides in length. Lineage: Eukaryota; Metazoa; Chordata; Mammalia; Artiodactyla; Bovidae. RNAcentral also lists the same sequence under 1 other name. The record is from Rfam by way of RNAcentral.
CCUGGUGGCUCAGAUGGUAAAGCGUCUGCCUAAAAUGCAGGAGACCUGGGUUCAUUCCCUGGGUCAGGA